RNAcentral lists this ribosomal RNA (499 nucleotides) under uncultured bacterium. Its description in RNAcentral is "partial 16S ribosomal RNA". It matches the Rfam family "Bacterial small subunit ribosomal RNA", at positions 30 to 523 of the family's 1533-position model. The record is from RNAcentral.
AUUGAACGCUGGCGGAAUGCUUUACACAUGCAAGUCGAACGGCAGCACGGACUUCGGUCUGGUGGCGAGUGGCGAACGGGUGAGUAAUGUAUCGGAACGUGCCCAGUCGUGGGGGCUAACGUAGUGAAAAUUACGCUAAUACCGCAUACGAUCUAUGGCAGAAAGCGGGGGAUCGCAAGACCUCGCGCGAGUGGAGCGGCCGGAAUCAGAUUAGGUAGUUGGUGGGGUACAGGCCACCAAGCCUACGAUCUGUAGCUGGUCUGAGAGGACGACCAGCCACACUGGAACUGAGACACGGUCCAGACUCCUACGGGAGGCAGCAGUGGGGAAUUUUGGACAAUGGGGGCAACCCUGAUCCAGCCAUGCCGCGUGAGUGAAGAAGGCCUUCGGGUUGUAAAGUUCUUUCGCGAGGGAAGAAAGCGCACUGGUUAAUACCUGGUGUGGAUGACGGUACCUUGAUAAGAAGCACCGGCUAACUACGUGCCAGCCGCCGCCGUAA